AUUGAACGCUGGCGGCAGGCCUAACACAUGCAAGUCGAGCGGAUGAAGGGAGCUUGCUCCUGGAUUCAGCGGCGGACGGGUGAGUAAUGCCUAGGAAUCUGCCUGUUAGUGGGGGAUAACGUCCGGAAACGGGCGCUAAUACCGCAUACGUCCUGAGGGAGAAAGUGGGGGAUCUUCGGACCUCACGCUAUCAGAUGAGCCUAGGUCGGAUUAGCUAGUUGGUGGGGUAAAGGCCUACCAAGGCGACGAUCCGUAACUGGUCUGAGAGGAUGAUCAGUCACACUGAAACUGAGAGACGGUACAGACUCCUAGGGGAGGCAGAAGUGGGGAAUAUUGGAAAAUGGGCGAAAGACUGCUCCAGCCAUGCAGGGUGUGUGCAGAAGGUCUUCGGAUUGUAAAGCACUUUAAGUUGGGAGGACGGGCAGUACGUUAAUACCUUGCUGUUUUGACGUUACCAACAGAAUAAGCACCGGCUAACUUCGUG
RNAcentral lists this ribosomal RNA (484 nucleotides) under uncultured bacterium. RNAcentral's name for it is "partial 16S ribosomal RNA". It matches the Rfam family "Bacterial small subunit ribosomal RNA", at positions 30 to 507 of the family's 1533-position model. The record is from RNAcentral.